GACGAACGCUGGCGGCGUGCUUAACACAUGCAAGUCGAACGGAAAGGCCCUGCUUUUGUGGGGUGCUCGAGUGGCGAACGGGUGAGUAACACGUGAGUAACCUGCCCUUGACUUUGGGAUAACUUCAGGAAACUGGGGCUAAUACCGGAUAGGAGCUCCUGCCGCAUGGUGGGGGUUGGAAAGUUUCGGCGGUUGGGGAUGGACUCGCGGCUCAUCAGCGUGUUGGUGGGGUAGUGGCUUACCAAGGCUUUGACGGGUGGCCGGCUUGAGAGUGUGACCGGCCUCAUGGGGACUGAGGUACGACCCAGACUCCAACGGGAGGCAUCGAUGAAGGAUAUUGCACGAUGGGCGGAAGCCAUAUGCAGCAACGCAGCGUGCGGGAAGACGGCCUGCGGGUUAUAAGGCGCUUUCGCCUGUGACGGAGCGUGAGUGACGGUGAUGGGUAAAGAAGCACCGGCUAACUACGUG
Molecule: ribosomal RNA, 468 nt
Filed under: uncultured bacterium
Lineage: Bacteria
Description: partial 16S ribosomal RNA
Rfam family: Bacterial small subunit ribosomal RNA
Source: RNAcentral